RNAcentral lists this ribosomal RNA (555 nucleotides) under Staphylococcus gallinarum. RNAcentral's name for it is "bacterial SSU rRNA". It matches the Rfam family "Bacterial small subunit ribosomal RNA", at positions 63 to 600 of the family's 1533-position model. Lineage: Bacteria; Bacillati; Bacillota; Bacilli; Caryophanales; Staphylococcaceae. The record is from RNAcentral.
CGAGCGAACAGAUAAGGAGCUUGCUCCUUUGACGUUAGCGGCGGACGGGUGAGUAACACGUGGGUAACCUACCUAUAAGACUGGAAUAACUCCGGGAAACCGGGGCUAAUGCCGGAUAACAUAUAGAACCGCAUGGUUCUAUAGUGAAAGAUGGUUUUGCUAUCACUUAUAGAUGGACCCGCGCCGUAUUAGCUAGUUGGUAAGGUAAUGGCUUACCAAGGCGACGAUACGUAGCCGACCUGAGAGGGUGAUCGGCCACACUGGAACUGAGACACGGUCCAGACUCCUACGGGAGGCAGCAGUAGGGAAUCUUCCGCAAUGGGCGAAAGCCUGACGGAGCAACGCCGCGUGAGUGAUGAAGGGUUUCGGCUCGUAAAACUCUGUUAUUAGGGAAGAACAUAUGUGUAAGUAACUGUGCACAUCUUGACGGUACCUAAUCAGAAAGCCACGGCUAACUACGUGCCAGCAGCCGCGGUAAUACGUAGGUGGCAAGCGUUAUCCGGAAUUAUUGGGCGUAAAGCGCGCGUAGGCGGUUUCUUAAGUCUGAUGUGAAAG